RNA transcript from Myotis myotis, 3020 nucleotides. It is a transcript of the gene named solute carrier family 46 member 3, with no coding region annotated. The record is from RefSeq and is a predicted model, not a curated record. NCBI's taxonomy places the organism in Eukaryota, Metazoa, Chordata, Mammalia, Chiroptera, Vespertilionidae. The transcript has 7 exons.
CGCCAGCUGCCGCGCCGGGUCCGCUCGGCGCCUCCCGGAGUUCGCCCGCCGGGGCUGCCAGGGGACCGCCGCCGAGGUCACUGUGGACGCGGAAAUGCGCUUCCCGUGCUUUGCUUGCCAGUGAGGGUGCCGUCCCCGCAGGUGCGCUGGGUCGAAUUCCACGGCGAUUGCCCUUCGCAUCCUGCGGCCCCGCCUCCGGGCCCCGCUGAGCGGGAGGCGGGCCGAGCGCAUAUCCCCAGGGGAGACCGUUCCCGGACCGCUGGCCCUUAACCCGGCGAGAAGACUAACGGCGGGAAGUCAGCUACCGGCAUAACCAAUAUGAAGGUUUUCCUUGUAGAGCCGGCCAUUUGCCUCAGUGCCUUUGCCCUGACUUUGAUCACCCCACUGACAACACAGUAUGUGUACAGGAGAAUAUGGGAAGAAACAGGCAACUACAGCAUUGCACCUGAGAGCAAUAUUUCUGAGUGUGAAAAAAACAAAAGCAGCCCGAUUUUUGCAUUCCAGGAGGAAGUUCAGAAAAAAGUGUCUCUUUUUAAUCUGCAGAUGGACUUAAGUGGGUUAAUUCCUGGUCUAGUGUCCACGUUCAUACUUCUGUCCCACAGUGAUCAUCAUGGACGAAAAUUCCCUUUGAUUUUGACUUCUGCUGGCGCUCUUGUGACCAGUGCCUGGCUCUGUUUGCUUUCCUAUUUCACCUUUCCAUUCCAGCUUUUGAUUGCAUCUACCUUCAUUGGGGCACUUUUCGGCAACUCUACCACAUUUUUGGGUGCCAGUUUCGCCUACAUAGUUGAUCAAUGUAAAGAAGAAAAACAAAGAACAAUUCGAAUAGCUAUCAUUGACUUCAUGCUUGGACUUGUUACUGGAUUAACAGGGCUGUCUUCUGGCUAUUUUAUUAGAGAGCUGGGUUUUGUGUGGUCCUUUUUCAUUAUUACUAUGGCUCAUACUGUUAACUUGAUUUAUAUUUUAUUUUUUCUUGGUGAUUCACUGGAGGAGUCUUUAUCUCAGAAUGUUUCCAUAUCAUGUAGUGAAAGCUUUAAAAACCUAUUUUACCGAACUUACAUGCUUUUUAAAAAUGCUUACAGUGGGCAGUGGUCUUUGCUCUGUUUGUUACUUUUCACAAUGAUCACUUAUUUUUUUGUGAUAAUUGGCAUUGCCCCCAUUUUUAUCCUCUAUGAAUUGAAUUCACCACUCUGCUGGAAUGAAGUUCUUAUAGGUUAUGGGUCAGCUUUGGGUAGUAUCUCUUUUUUGAGUAGUUUCCUAGGAAUAUGGUUUUUUUCUUACUGUAUGGAAGAUAUCUACAUGGCCUUCAUUGGAAUUUUUACCACCAUGGUGGGAAUGGCUAUGACUGCUUUUGCCAAAACAACAUUGAUGAUGCUUUUAGUCAGGCUGCUCUUCCUCUUCACUAUUGUGCCGCUUUCUGUUCUACGGUCUAUGAUGUCAAAAGUGGUUCAUUCUACUGAACAAGGGACUCUGUUUGCUUGUAUUGCUUUCUUUGAAACACUUGGUGGAGUCAUUGCAGUUUCUACUUUUAAUGGAAUUUAUUCAGCAACUGUUGCAUGGUACACAGGCUUCACCUUUCUGCUGUCUGCUGGUCUAUUACUAAUUCCAGCGAUCAGUCUAUGUAUUGUCAAGUGUAGCAGCUGGAACGAGAGAAGCAAUGAACUUCUUAUCCAGGAAGAUGCCAGUGAAGACACAUCAGACCCAUGAUUCAUUGUGAUUUCAAAACAAUGCUCAUGCCAUGCACUCUGACUCGUGAGGCGUACCGCCCAGCUCAGUCAGUGCUUCAGGAACAGUCAGUGGUUAUGUCCUUGCUUCUGGCCCGGGCAAGGAGAGGAGCCACUACUCCAGCGCCUGGAGGACCGCGCACUUCGAGCACUUUAUGAACAUUGUGUGAUGUGUUUCCGGUACAGAGAAAAAAUCUCAAAACACUUGUCCUUUUGGGAUUUACAAAAGAAACUGAAACUUAACGGUACCAGGAGGGAUUAAGACACUUGAUAUGAUCAAGUACAAUAACCUCCCUGGCAUACUCCAGUCUCUCACACUGAGACCUCCGUUUCUUUAUAAAAUGGCUUUCUGACCUCUCUAGGAUUUUGAAGGACAACUGGCAAAAAUUAUGAUGAAUCAUUCAAUGGAAAAAUAAUAAUAGAAGUUUUAAAUAUUUAUAAUUUUACCUCUACUUAGGUUGUGCUUUGUUUUAUAGAGCCCAUCAAGGUACUAUUGAUAGUAAAAGCUUUUAACAGGUGCAAAAUCCUUAAAAUAGAAGCUCUUGAAAGAAUACAUUGUUUUCAUUUUUCCUAAUAUGUUUCAUCCGUGACAGGUGUGAUAAUAUUUCUAUAUGCAACAAAGGGUAAUUAGAAAAAUCAGAUUAUAAAUAAAAUUGUUUCUAAAGAAAUGUAAAAACUGAAUAAAUAGUCAAUCGGGAAGUAAAGUGAUAUUAUAGCACCAGUCUUCAUUCCUUAUUUCUGUCAAAGGGUAUCCAUUUCCUACUGGCUCACACCCAUCCCAGGCCUGGACCCUGAAAGCACCACAUGCUUUCAUCCUUUACACACUGUUCCAUUUGCCCUCCCUCCCUGGUGACACUGAAACUUCUAAGUCUCAGCCAAAAUGUUGCUUCCUUUGUGAAGCCUUGACAUUUUCCCUGUAUCUACCCUGGUCCGGCCCCACUGUCCCACAGAGCCCACAGCUCUUUGUGUCUCCUUCCAUCCUAGCAUUUUCCAGGGCUUUGUAAUGUUUGUUUCCCCUACCAGACAAGGGGAGGUACAGUCUGAUUCCUUAUUAUAUCCUCAAUAAAUGUUUGAGGGGAGGUACAGUCUGAUUCCUUAUUAUAUCCUCAAUAAAUGUUUGAGGGGAGGUACAGUCUGAUUCCUUAUUAUAUCCUCAAUAAAUGUUUGUUGAACCAAAUACAAAAUUUUGUUUUUACUUGUAAAAAUAAUUUAAAGCCACAUAUUUAAUGCAUCAGGAGAGUAACCACUGAUAUGCUAUACUUGUCAAGCCAGCUUGCAAAUAAAUUGAAAAAUAUAGUA